Molecule: unclassified non-coding RNA, 76 nt
Filed under: Megasphaera paucivorans
Lineage: Bacteria; Bacillati; Bacillota; Negativicutes; Veillonellales; Veillonellaceae
Source: RNAcentral
AAACGCCGUUACCAAACGGUACGUACGGUGUUGUGAGAGGUCGGUCACUCAAUUAAUGGGUGACCUCCUACUCGAU